RNAcentral lists this ribosomal RNA (1347 nucleotides) under uncultured bacterium. RNAcentral describes it as "bacterial SSU rRNA". It matches the Rfam family "Bacterial small subunit ribosomal RNA", at positions 28 to 1381 of the family's 1533-position model. The record is from RNAcentral.
GACGAACGCUGGCGGCGUGCUUAACACAUCCUAGUCGAACGGAAAGGCCCUGCUUUUGUGGGGUGCUCGAGUGGCGAACGGGUGAGUAACACGUGAGUAACCUGCCCUUGACUUUGGGAUAACUUCAGGAAACUGGGGCUAAUACCGGAUAGGAGCUCCUGCUGCAUGGUGGGGGUUGGAAAGUUUCGGCGGUUGGGGAUGGACUCGCGGCUUAUCAGCUUGUUGGUGGGGUAGUGGCUUACCAAGGCUUUGACGGGUAGCCGGCCUGAGAGGGUGACCGGCCACAUUGGGACUGAGAUACGGCCCAGACUCCUACGGGAGGCAGCAGUGGGGAAUAUUGCACAAUGGGCGGAAGCCUGAUGCAGCAACGCCGCGUGCGGGAUGACGGCCUUCGGGUUGUAAACCGCUUUCGCCUGUGACGAAGCGUGAGUGACGGUAAUGGGUAAAGAAGCACCGGCUAACUACGUGCCAGCAGCCGCGGUGAUACGUAGGGUGCGAGCGUUGUCCGGAUUUAUUGGGCGUAAAGGGCUCGUAGGUGGUUGAUCGCGUCGGAAGUGUAAUCUUGGGGCUUAACCCUGAGCGUGCUUUCGAUACGGGUUGACUUGAGGAAGGUAGGGGAGAAUGGAAUUCCUGGUGGAGCGGUGGAAUGCGCAGAUAUCAGGAGGAACACCAGUGGCGAAGGCGGUUCUCUGGGCCUUUCCUGACGCUGAGGAGCGAAAGCGUGGGGAGCGAACAGGCUUAGAUACCCUGGUAGUCCACGCUGUAAACGGUGGGUACUAGGUGUGGGGUCCAUUCCACGGGUUCCGUGCCGUAGCUAACGCUUUAAGUACCCCGCCUGGGGAGUACGGCCGCAAGGCUAAAACUCAAAGGAAUUGACGGGGCCCCGCACAAGCGGCGGAGCAUGCGGAUUAAUACGAUGCAACGCGUAGAACCUUACCUGGGUUUGACAUGGAUAGGGAGUGCUCAGAGAUGGGUGUGCCUCUUUUGGGGUCGGUUCACAGGUGGUGCAUGCCUGUCGUCAGCUCGUGUCGUGAGAUGUUGGGUUAAGUCCCGCAACGAGCGCAACCCUUGUUCACUGUUGCCAGCACGUUAUGGUGGGGACUCAGUGGAGACCGCCGGGGUCAACUCGGAGGAAGGUGGGGAUGACGUCAAGUCCUCAUGCCCCUUAUGUCCAGGGCUUCACGCAUGCUACAAUGGCUGGUACAGAGAGUGGCGAGCCUGUGAGGGUGAGCGAAUCUCGGAAAGCCGGUCUCAGUUCGGAUUGGGGUCUGCAACUCGACCUCAUGAAGUCGGAGUCGCUAGUAAUCGCAGAUCAGCAACGCUGCGGUGAAUACAAAGCCCGGGGCU